AGAGUUUGAUCAUGGCUCAGGACGAACGCUGGCGGCGUGCUUUAUACAUGCAAGUCGAACGAUGAAGUUCCUUCGGGAAUGGAUUAGUGGCGAACGGGUGAGGAACACGUGAGAAACCUGCCUUUCAUUCUGGGAUAACACCGGGAAACCGGUGCUAAUACCGGAUACUCCAUCUUGGCGGCAUCGCCGAGCUGGGAAAAAAUUUUGAUGAAAGAUGGUCUCGCGGCCUAUCAGCUAGUUGGUGAGGUAAAGGCUCACCAAGGCGACGACGGGUAGCCGGCCUGAGAGGGCGACCGGCCACACUGGGACUGAGACACGGCCCAGACUCCUACGGGAGGCAGCAGUAGGGAAUAUUGGGCAAUGGGCGAAAGCCUGACCCAGCGACGCCGCGUGAGGGAUGAAGGUCUUCGGAUUGUAAACCUCUUUCAGUAGGGAAGAAGCGAAAGUGACGGUACCUAAAGAAGAAGCACCGGCUAACUAUGUGCCAGCAGCCGCGGUAAUACAUAGGGUGCAAGCGUUGUCCGGAAUUAUUGGGCGUAAAGAGCUCGUAGGUCGUUUGUCGCGUCGAUUGUGAAAAUCUGAGGCUCAACCUCAGACCUGCAGUCGAUACGGGCAAACUAGAGUGUGGUAGGGGAGACUGGAAUUCCUGGUGUAGCGGUGGAAUGCGCAGAUAUCAGGAGGAACACCAAUGGCGAAGGCAGGUCUCUGGGCCAUAACUGACACUGAGGAGCGAAAGUGCGGGGAGCGAACAGGAUUAGAUACCCUGGUGGUCCGCACCGUAAACGGUGGGCACUAGUUGU
Molecule: ribosomal RNA, 800 nt
Filed under: uncultured bacterium
Lineage: Bacteria
Description: bacterial SSU rRNA
Rfam family: Bacterial small subunit ribosomal RNA
Source: RNAcentral